RNAcentral lists this long non-coding RNA (1445 nucleotides) under Homo sapiens (human). Its description in RNAcentral is "HSALNT0170244". The record is from RNAcentral. Lineage: Eukaryota; Metazoa; Chordata; Mammalia; Primates; Hominidae.
AACAUGGCAUAUCAAGUGGGGAAAAUGUGGCCACGUGCCCACUGCCCACCCCACCAGCAGUGCACACCACGGACUGAGCCACCCGCCCCACAGCCUGGCUUUCUCCUGCAUUUGGGAUCCUUCUUGAUCCAGGACCCAGGCCUCACUACCAACUGGCUGGUUGAAGUUAACCUAGGGUUGAAAUCGAUUGGUUCUCCCAGUCCAUAGCUUCAUUGACUGGUUAAAGUUAACCUAGGGGUUGAAAUCUACUGGUUCUCCCAGUCCGUAGCUUCUUUCCCCUUACCCAUAUUAUAUUUCUGAACCCAUGAAUAUUUGAAAGGACUCCCAGGGAGGACAUUAAAACACCAAGCUUACUGGGGCACAGGGACCUGGUUCUGGAUUCCUGUUCUCCCGAAUGGACGCCAUCCGAUGGCAAAGUUGACAUCCAAGGGAGCAAAGUCGACUGUUCCGAAGCCCUCCAUGUUUACAGAUCUUAACAUUGGUGAAGCAGCAAGGAUGUUCUUGUUAGGAAACAUCCUGAGAGCCCUCUGCUAAAAUACUUUCUCAAGAAACAGAGACAUCUGUGAGGCAUAGCUCUUCCUGGGUGAUGCGCAUGUGCAGGGGCGGCAGGUGCAACCGCGCUCUCCAGGCAAACACCUGCGGGAGGCGCGGCGGAUGCCCGGCCCAGUAAUAAGAGGGAGCACGGAGAGGAGGCUCUGGAGAAAGAAAUGCACUUCCCUUGCUGAGAGAAAAUGUUUCAUUAUGGUAUUUUCUUACGAUUUCUGAGUCAAUCUUGUGAGCAAAUACAGGAUCUACUUAGGGGUUAUUUAUUAUAAAUGAAGUAAGUGAAAAUGCUCUGGAGAAGAAAGAAAUAUGACCACCAGGAAGAACCAGAAAUUGAGCUUUCAGCAAAUGCACCCAUGGCUGGUGUUUCAUCUGCUUCUCCCUCUAUUUUCUCUUCCUCAACUGCUACUUGAACUGACAUGAAGCUAAUUAGAUUCUGCUUUUUCAAGAGAGAAAGAGUUAUUAAUUUUCGUAUUUAAGACUCUGCAGUCCUCGUGCCUUUACAGGGACUCUGCCUUCUCCUGUGCUGAGCAGAAGCCCUGGCUGCCAUUCCCAACGGUGGACCCGGGAGCCCGGGAGACCGAGCGGGGCCAGGAAAUCCCACAGGGAAAGCCCUGCCUCUGGAGACCUCACGGGGGUGGAGCCCACAGGCUGUCCGGGGACUGCGGUCCCAGGCACCCAACUCCACCCGACACACAGACACCCUGACGGCCAGCCCGGCCCAGCACGGUCUGUGCAGGGACCCUGGUGAAGGGUCCGUUACUCAUUCGCUGAGGUCCCUUUUCUCACUCUGGACACGGCUGCAGCGUCUAACGCAGUGGUCAUUUGGAAGAGAAAGCUGUAUUUGCUCUCUGGUUCACUUGAUCCUUAAUGUUUACCUUUCUUUUUGUUUGGAUGCAUGU